CCAGACUCCUACGGGAGGCAGCAGUGGGGAAUAUUGGGCAAUGGGCGCAAGCCUGACCCAGCAACGCCGCGUGAAGGAAGAAGGCUUUCGGGUUGUAAACUUCUUUUAAGAGGGACGAAACAAAUGACGGUACCUCUUGAAUAAGCCACGGCUAACUACGUGCCAGCAGCCGCGGUAAUACGUAGGUGGCAAGCGUUAUCCGGAUUUAUUGGGUGUAAAGGGCGUGUAGGCGGCACGGCAAGCCGGCGGUCAAAUCGCGGGGCUCAACCCCGCCCAGCCGUCGGAACUGCCGGGCUAGAGUGGGCGAGAAGUGCGCGGAAUGCGUGGUGUAGCGGUGAAAUGCAUAGAUAUCACGCAGAACUCCGAUUGCGAAGGCAGCGCACCGGCGCCCUACUGACGCUCAGGCACGAAAGCGUGUGUAUCGAACAGGAUUAGAUACCCCAGUA
RNAcentral lists this ribosomal RNA (446 nucleotides) under uncultured bacterium. RNAcentral describes it as "bacterial SSU rRNA". It matches the Rfam family "Bacterial small subunit ribosomal RNA", at positions 331 to 792 of the family's 1533-position model. The record is from RNAcentral.